AUACGGAGGGUGCAAGCGUUAUCCGGAAUCAUUGGGUUUAAAGGGUCCGCAGGCGGAUUAAUAAGUCAGUGGUGAAAUCCUCUCGCUCAACGAAAGAACUGCCAUUGAAACUGUUAGUCUUGAAUUCGGUCGAAGUAGGCGGAAUGUGUCAUGUAGCGGUGAAAUGCAUAGAUAUGACACAGAACACCGAUAGCGAAGGCAGCUUACUAGACCUGGAUUGACGCUCAUGGACGAAAGCGUGGGGAGCGAACAGGAUUAGAAACCCGAGUAGUCC
RNAcentral lists this ribosomal RNA (274 nucleotides) under uncultured bacterium. Its description in RNAcentral is "partial 16S ribosomal RNA". It matches the Rfam family "Bacterial small subunit ribosomal RNA", at positions 523 to 796 of the family's 1533-position model. The record is from RNAcentral.